CUAUUUACAACAUUUACAGAAUGGUAGUUUAGUUGGGGCGACCGCGGGA
This 49-nucleotide ribosomal RNA is filed under the name Bougainvillia muscus. RNAcentral's name for it is "partial 16S ribosomal RNA". Lineage: Eukaryota; Metazoa; Cnidaria; Hydrozoa; Anthoathecata; Bougainvilliidae. The record is from RNAcentral.